GGAAUUAAGGAAAUAGCGUUUACGCACCUCUAAAUAGCGUUUACGAACCUCAAAGUUCCCUGUGCCUUGUAUUCUGCAGUUGGAAUAAUCGGAAAUAAAUUUGGUAUCAUUUUAAAACACCUAAAACAAAGUUGCAUAUGGUUGAACAAAUGAACGCUGUAAUCUGAAUCAUUUUCAUCUGCGCUUUUACAGGCCUAUGCUAUUAUGGUCUGUGACCCUCCAAUCAGUGCCUUGCGGCUGCGGCGGCAACACCAAUCCGGAUCCAGGAAAAUAUGUAAACAGGAAGUAUGUAAACACAUGGCCCUACGCGUUGUGGAUUAUCAUGCCUGCCUACCUGUCAUUAAUUAGCCAUGGAUGUCAGGCGAUUUUUUAAGAGACCUUCGAGUGCUCCCGCUCUCCAACAGAUUCCCGAAAAAGGCCUCAAGUACAAAACAGAUCUUGCUUGCAUCAAAUGCUGCUUUGAGGGUCACUCAACACGGAUGCUUCCUGUUGCAUCCAGGAGGCCACCGGACCACUCACCACAGGAGCUGAUGCACAUUCUUCAUGCUGAACUUUACACCGUUGUCCCACCAUCCACUGAAUUGAACACCAUUCAGACUCAUGGCUGUAUCAGCAGUGACAUGCGUGUGGUGUGUAGAGACUCCAACGGUUGUGUCAGUGUUCUCUCGCUAACGGCGCCGGGGCUAGAGACCACGGCCCCAGGGGAAGGCUCUGAGGCCUGGAUCACAGCCAUCUCCUUCUAGGACACCCAGCUGCUCUACUCAGGUAACCCCCCCCCACACACACACGCCACCGGUUUCACUCACUUUUAGAAGUGGGGCAGGGUAGGCUAAAGCAGAUAACAUGAAUUCAGACUAGGGAUCGACCGAAUAUAUCGGUCGGCCGAUAUUAUCGGACCGAUAUUCGCGUUUUUUACGUGUAUCGUAUCGGCCGAUACGCGGCUGAUUUUCGCCGAUAUUUUUUCACUUUUUUUUUUUUUACUUGUUCUACCUCACCUGUUUUUAAUAUUUGUUAAAUAUUGCUCAUCAAAUUUUUCUUACUUGUUUUACCUCACCUGUUUUUAAUAUUUGUUAAAUAUUGUUUUUUAUAUUGAAGUUCAAUAAAUGUUCCUUUUUUUAAAUUGAGACUUGUAACAUUUGUUAUCAGUGUAAUUUUUAUGAUUGAGGGAGCAAAAGCAGUAUCGGCUCUAAAUAUCGGUAUCGGCGUAUCAGAGUAUCGGCUAAGGCUGAUGAAAAAAUAUCGGUAUCGUAUCGGCCCUAAAAAAUCUGUAUCGGUCGAUCCCUAAUUCAGACUUAUAGAUUUUAUUAUAAAAAACAAUACUUUAUAAAAAAAAUAUUUUUUUUUAAUUUGAGCUGCUAUAAUGCCGUUUCCCCUCGGUGAUGAAUGAAGUACAUAUGUAUUUAUGUAUCUAUCAAUAUAGUUGUUGGGGUGUUUGUCUCCCAGCUGAAAAAGUAUUUGAAUCAACCACCAAUGUCGCUGGAGAGGGAGGCCCAGAAAGGGCCAUCAAGGCCUCAAUUCAGUCAAACUACAGGAGUCGGAUGAUAAGCAUAUUAACUAAAGUUGUGUGUGUGUGUGUGUGUGUGUGUGUGUGUGUGUGUGUGUGUGUGUGUCACAGCAAGCUGAAAGGCUGGGACCCCAGGAUGGAGCUCUCCUCUCCCACUUUCACCAGCAAGAGGUAAAUAAACAGCCCUAGCUAGCUUCACUAAUUAUCCUAUCUUAGCCUUUUGGAGAAAACGCCACUUUCUGACUCUAAACCUAUGUUGGGUCAUCUGCUGUCUCACCUCCGUUUCAGUUAAGAAGUCAUAGAAUAGGUAUUUAGAUAUUUGAUAUUUUUUUAUAUUAGUAAAGUGAGGAUCUAAAAUGUAACAUAUCACGUUUCGGAUGAUCACAGAGGGGUAUAUGCACUACACGUCUACCAAAUAUCUUGUCAGGACAAUGCCAAUGUCAAUCAAUAUACUGAAAUAAACACGAGGUUUACUAAUUUUCUUAUGCUUACUGCACAUCUUGAUAUCUUUUUAAUAACAUAAUUAUAAGGAAAUCAUUAACAAAUUGACACACUUGUACCUUCAGUAAUAUGGCCGUCUGGUCAACCUCGGACAUUUCAACACACUAACUAAAUCACGUAACUAAAUCAUUUUUCAACCGUUCUCCAUCGUUCAAACCAUUAAAAAUAUUUGUAUCUUCACUAAUAUCUAAACAAAAUUUUGUUUAGAUAUUGGACCCCUUUGAUAAUGAGUACGCCAUAUAUGGAUACCAAUAUAAUUGAUGGGGUGUCAGAUGUGUGACGGCCCUCUGACUGUCUUUGUGUAACUUGGGGG
Gadus morhua (Atlantic cod) is the source of this 2318-nucleotide long non-coding RNA. Lineage: Eukaryota; Metazoa; Chordata; Actinopteri; Gadiformes; Gadidae. The record is from Ensembl.